RNAcentral lists this ribosomal RNA (428 nucleotides) under uncultured bacterium. RNAcentral describes it as "partial 16S ribosomal RNA". It matches the Rfam family "Bacterial small subunit ribosomal RNA", at positions 354 to 796 of the family's 1533-position model. The record is from RNAcentral.
GUAGGGAAUAUUGCGCAAUGGGGGAAACCCUGACGCAGCGACGCCGCGUGAGUGAUGAAGGCCUUCGGGUCGUAAAGCUCUGUUGCAGGGGAAUAAAAAAAUGAAGGUACCCUGUGAGGAAGGAUCGGCUAACUUCGUGCCAGCAGCCGCGGUAAGACGAGGGAUCCUAGCGUUGCUCGGAAUCAUUGGGCGUAAAGAGGGCGUAGGUGGCUUGGUAAGUCAGGUGUGAAAGCACAGGGCUCAACCCUGGAAGUGCAUUUGAUACUGCUGAGCUUGAGUGUCGGAGAGGUUACCGGAAUACCUAGUGUAGUGGUGAAAUACGUAGAUAUCAGGUGGAACACCGUAGGCGAAGGCGGGUAACUGGACGAACACUGACACUGAGGCCCGAAAGCGUGGGGAUCAAACAGGAUUAGAUACCCUGGUAGUCC